This 1203-nucleotide ribosomal RNA is filed under the name Triticum aestivum (bread wheat). Its description in RNAcentral is "partial small subunit ribosomal RNA". Lineage: Eukaryota; Viridiplantae; Streptophyta; Magnoliopsida; Poales; Poaceae. The record is from RNAcentral.
AUGGUUGCCACUGCCAUUUCUGCCCGUCCGUCCCAGCGAGCGUCGAGAAGCAGCGCAGCGAAGCGAGGCAAAGACACCAGUGAGGUUACUACAACGAUGGCGAGCAGGCGAGGGGAGGAGGUCUACGGGGAUGGGAUGGAGGAGGAGUACAUCGACAUGGACCUGAGCCCCCCGGCGGCGGGGAGGGAGUUCGAGUUCCACUUCCACAUGUCCGCGCCGCUGGACAGGUCGGGGCAGCCGCCGCUGGCGUCCCCGGCCGACGAGCUCUUCUACAAGGGCAAGCUGCUCCCGCUGCACAUGCCGCCGCGUGUCCAGAUGGUCGAGGAGCUCCUCCUCGACGGCGCCGUCCGGGGCAGGGCCGGCCCGCGGCUCGGCGGCCUCGCCGUCAGCACCGCCCCCGCCACGCCCUGCGAGCGCUCCCGCGGCGUGUCGCCGGCCAACUCGUGCUUCGUCAGCGGGGAGCUCAACGUGGAGGAGUUCUUCCGGGAGUACGCGGCCGGCAUGGCUCUCGCCGACGACGACGACGACGCCGCAUCGGCGGCCGGCGGCGAGAAGAAGCCCUGGUCCCGGAGGCUCCGGUUCGUCCGGCAGCUCAACCUCGGCCGCCAGCUCAAGGCCUCCAAGGCCUACCUCAAGACCAUGUUCGCCGGGAAGCAAGCGGGAGCCGGCGGCGACGACAAGCACGGGUUGGGCGGAAAGGACCUCUCCGGCCAUGGCCACCACCCCCGGGCGUGGAGGAAGAACCCGUUCGGACACAUGAGAAGCAACAGGUGCAUCACCGAGCAGAGCAGCGGCGGCGGCGGCCGCGCCGGGCACCGGAGGUCCUUCUCCAGCGUCGUCGUCCGGUACUCGGCGUCCAACAAGACGUCCCCCGCGCCGGCGCCUCCAGCGUCGUCCUCGUCCUGCUCCUCGACAUCCUCCUCGUCCAAGUCCUCCACCUCGUCGUCGGUCCGGUGCUCGAGCGACUCCGACGGCGGCGCGGGGGCGGGGGCGCCGGCGCUGAGGAGGAGCAGCAGCGCGAGCUCGGAGGCCGAGAACCCCAUCCAGGGGCUCAUCGCCUACUGCAAGAAGUCCCAGCAGCUGGCGUCGGUGCGGAAGAGCGCCAGCGACGCCGGGUUCCGGUUCCUGUCGUCGUCGGCGGCCUCCAAGGUCGCCGCCGAGUCCGAGGGCCUGGACGAGCUCAUCGAGAUCUGCAGCGGAUGA